RNAcentral lists this ribosomal RNA (572 nucleotides) under Jamesozyma lodderae. RNAcentral describes it as "Kazachstania lodderae partial 26S ribosomal RNA". It matches the Rfam family "Eukaryotic large subunit ribosomal RNA", at positions 62 to 648 of the family's 3401-position model. Lineage: Eukaryota; Fungi; Ascomycota; Saccharomycetes; Saccharomycetales; Saccharomycetaceae. The record is from RNAcentral.
AAACCAACCGGGAUUGCCUUAGUAACGGCGAGUGAAGCGGCAAAAGCUCAAAUUUGAAAUCUAGUACCUUCGGUGCUCGAGUUGUAAUUUGUAGAGGGAUACUUUGGGGCCGUUCCUUAUCUAUGUUCCUUGGAACAGGACGUCAUAGAGGGUGAGAAUCCCGUAUGAUGAGGAGUGCGGUUCUAUGUAAAGUGCUCUCGAAGAGUCGAGUUGUUUGGGAAUGCAGCUCUAAGUGGGUGGUAAAUUCCAUCUAAAGCUAAAUAUUGGCGAGAGACCGAUAGCGAACAAGUACAGUGAUGGAAAGAUGAAAAGAACUUUGAAAAGAGAGUGAAAAAGUACGUGAAAUUGUUGAAAGGGAAGGGCAUUUGAUCAGACAUGGUGUUUUGCGCCCUCUGCUCCUUGUGGGUGGGGGACUCUCGCAGCUCACUGGGCCAGCAUCAGUUUUGGCGGCAGGAUAAAUCUGUAGGAAUGUAGCUUGCUUCGGGAAGUGUUAUAGCCUGCGGGAAUACUGCCAGCUGGGAUUGAGGACUGCGACAUUCGUCAAGGAUGCUGGCAUAAUGGUUAUAUGCCGC